AAUCGGGGGUGCUGCCAUAUGGCGGCUGAGACGGGCAACUGCCCGAACCCUUUCACCUGAUACGGAUAAUGCCGGCGUAGGGAAGAGAUCUU
This 92-nucleotide non-coding RNA is filed under the name human gut metagenome. RNAcentral's name for it is "TPP riboswitch (THI element)". It matches the Rfam family "TPP riboswitch aptamer (THI element)", at positions 9 to 90 of the family's 105-position model. Rfam says of the family: Vitamin B(1) in its active form thiamin pyrophosphate (TPP) is an essential coenzyme that is synthesised by coupling of pyrimidine and thiazole moieties in bacteria. The previously detected thiamin-regulatory element, thi box was extended, resulting in a new, highly conserved RNA secondary structure, the THI element, which is widely distributed in eubacteria and also occurs in some archaea. Analysis of operon structures identified a large number of new candidate thiamin-regulated genes, mostly transporters, in various prokaryotic organisms. The record is from RNAcentral.